This 1107-nucleotide long non-coding RNA is filed under the name Felis catus (domestic cat). RNAcentral's name for it is "lncRNA (ENSFCAG00000050038.1)". Lineage: Eukaryota; Metazoa; Chordata; Mammalia; Carnivora; Felidae. The record is from RNAcentral.
CUAUGCUUUCUGACCAACUUUUUUUUUUUUUUUUUUUUUUUUAUGAUUUGUCAUUGUUGAGAUGGGACAAAAGUCACAUUCAGACUACGUCACAUGUCGGUGGUGUUGAGAGGCAAGAGGGGAUCCCUCGUUCCCUCUUCCCAAAUUUCUUCUCCUUUGCUCUUCACCGUGCCCUGCAGUCUCUGUUCCACUGUCCUGUCCGUGCGUCCCGGGAAUAAAAGGAAUGACCAGUAAAACCCCAGCUGGCGGGGAGCAGGGCGGUAGUGUUUCCGUGUGUGUUGUCGGGCAGGGAGGGUGACGGUAGCUCCCAGAUCCUGGACAGGAAAUACCACAAGCUUUUGUCCCUUCCGGGCACUGGGCGCAUCCUGCUGCCCGCAGGGGUGACGAGGGACACGGACCCAGCGGAGCACUGCCCAGGCACAAAUGCCAUUCUUAGGAAGUAAGUGUCCUUCGUGCCAGGCCGGCCGGGCUGAGGCCUCUGCCAGAUGCUCGAAAUGGGACAUCAGUGGUGUCCUGGGAAUCUAAGGAUUGAAGCUAGACUCUGUUACCGUUGCAGCCCCACAGCGGACGAGAUGUUCACUGACCUCACGGCCACGGCGGACACGCAGAGGCUGUGUGAGAGCUUCUGGACGCACGGAGUGGCGGGCAGAAUGGGAGACCAGCGCGUGCGAGUCGAGGCUCCUGGGGCUGAGAUGUGCCCGCCGCCCUCACCUCUGGGCCCCCAUCUCCUUUCUGAGUCAAGGAAAUUGGUGGUGCCCAGUGCCCACACUCCACAGCGUUGGAGGAAUUCUAGGACCCAUGGAGCUUCAGGGGCAUGUGGGGGCGUGAGACCGGGACGUCCAGCGGGACCGGGCCUGUGGGCUGUGGCUUCAGUGCCCGAACAUCCCUCCCACUGAGGGAGCGAGGGCUGGGCUGGGCAGUGACCAGGCACGCCUCGGUUGGCCGGGACUCGCUGAUCCGCGUGCGGAACGUCUUUCCCAGCAGCACCCAUUAGUAGACCGGACAGCAAGGUGCGAUUCCUCUUGUUCUAGGACAGCUGAUUGCGAAGACAGGUGGUAUAAUGUGUUUGAUAAUUUGAAUUAAAGUAAUAGCAAUAAUACUAAUAGC